UGCAAGUCGAACGAAGUAGCAAUACUUAGUGGCAGACGGGUGAGUAACAUGUAGGUAUCUGCCCUUUGGCCUGGAAUAACACGAGGAAACUUGUGCUAAUACCGGAUAAGUCUUUACGGAGAAAGCUUUAUGCACCAUUGGAUGAGCCUGCACUUGAUUAGUUUGUUGGUGGGGUAAUGGCCUACCAAGACUGUGAUCAAUAGCUGAUUUGAGAGGAUGAUCAGCCACAUUGGGACUGAGACACGGCCCAAACUCCUACGGGAGGCAGCAGUGGGGAAUCUUGCACAAUGGAGGAAACUCUGAUGCAGCGAUGCCGCGUGAGUGAAGAAGGCCUUUGGGUUGUAAAGCUCUUUCGUCGGGGAAGAAAAUGACUGUACCCGAAUAAGAAGGUCCGGCUAACUUCGUGCCAGCAGCCGCGGUAAUACGAAGGGACCUAGCGUAGUUCGGAAUUACUGGGCUUAAAGAGUUCGUAGGUGGUUGAAAAAGUUGGUGGUGAAAUCCCAGAGCUUAACUCUGGAACUGCCAUCAAAACUUUUCAGCUAGAGUAUGAUAGAGGAAAGUAGAAUUUCUAGUGUAGAGGUGAAAUUCGUAGAUAUUAGAAAGAAUACCAAUUGCGAAGGCAGCUUUCUGGAUCAUUACUGACACUGAGGAACGAAAGCAUGGGUAGCGAAGAGGAUUAGAUACCCUCGUAGUCCAUGCCGUAAACGAUGUGUGUUAGACGUUGGAAAUUUAUUUUCAGUGUCGCAGCGAAAGCGAUAAACACACCGCCUGGGGAGUACGACCGCAAGGUUAAAACUCAAAUGAAUUGACGGGGACCCGCACAAGUAGUGGAGCAUGUGGUUUAAUUCGAAGAUACGCGCAGAACCUUACCAACACUUGACAUGUUCGUCGCGACUUUAAGAGAUUAGAGUUUUCGGUUCGGCCGGACGAAACACAGUGCUGCAUGGCUGUCGUCAGC
This 958-nucleotide ribosomal RNA is filed under the name uncultured marine bacterium. RNAcentral describes it as "bacterial SSU rRNA". It matches the Rfam family "Bacterial small subunit ribosomal RNA", at positions 56 to 1059 of the family's 1533-position model. The record is from RNAcentral.